Molecule: ribosomal RNA, 229 nt
Filed under: uncultured bacterium
Lineage: Bacteria
Description: partial 16S ribosomal RNA
Rfam family: Bacterial small subunit ribosomal RNA
Source: RNAcentral
UCCGUAGGCGGGCAGCUAAGUCAGUGGUGAAAGUCUGCAGCUCAACUGUAGAAUUGCCAUUGAUACUGGUUGUCUUGAAUUAUUAUGAAGUAGUUAGAAUAUGUAGUGUAGCGGUGAAAUGCAUAGAUAUUACAUAGAAUACCAAUUGCGAAGGCAGAUCACUAAUAAUAUAUUGACGCUGAUGGACGAAAGCGUGGGGAGCGAACAGGAUUAGAUACCCUGGUAGUCC